UGUCCUCGUAGCUCAGUAGGAUAGAGCGGUUGCCUCCUAAGCAACAGGUCGUGCGUUCGAUUCGCGCCGGGGACGU
RNAcentral lists this transfer RNA (76 nucleotides) under Chlamydiota bacterium. Its description in RNAcentral is "Chlamydiae bacterium tRNA-Arg". It matches the Rfam family "tRNA". From Rfam's summary of the family: Transfer RNA (tRNA) molecules are approximately 80 nucleotides in length. Their secondary structure includes four short double-helical elements and three loops (D, anti-codon, and T loops). Further hydrogen bonds mediate the characteristic L-shaped molecular structure. tRNAs have two regions of fundamental functional importance: the anti-codon, which is responsible for specific mRNA codon recognition, and the 3' end, to which the tRNAs corresponding amino acid is attached (by aminoacyl-tRNA synthetases). tRNAs cope with the degeneracy of the genetic code in two manners: having more than one tRNA (with a specific anti-codon) for a particular amino acid; and 'wobble' base-pairing, i.e. permitting non-standard base-pairing at the 3rd anti-codon position. Lineage: Bacteria; Pseudomonadati; Chlamydiota. The record is from RNAcentral.